RNAcentral lists this ribosomal RNA (482 nucleotides) under uncultured bacterium. RNAcentral's name for it is "partial 16S ribosomal RNA". It matches the Rfam family "Bacterial small subunit ribosomal RNA", at positions 29 to 507 of the family's 1533-position model. The record is from RNAcentral.
AUGAACGCUGGCGGCGUGCCUCACACAUGCAAGUCGCACGGAGUCGUUUUGGAAAUCUCUUCGGAGAUGGAAUUCUCGACUUAGUGGCGGACGGGUGAGUAACGCGUGAGCAAUCUGCCUUUAAGAGGGGGAUAACAGUCGGAAACGGCUGCUAAUACCGCAUAAAGCAUUAAAUUCGCAUGUUUUUGAUGCCAAAGGAGCAAUCCGCUUUUAGAUGAGCUCGCGUCUGAUUAGCUAGUUGGCGGGGUAACGGCCCACCAAGGCGACGAUCAGUAGCCGGACUGAGAGGUGGAACGGCCACAUUGGGACUGAGACACGGCCCAGACUCCUACGGGAGGCAGCAGUGGGGAAUAUUGCGCAAUGGGGGAAACCCUGACGCAGCAACGCCGCGUGAUUGAAGAAGGCCUUCGGGUUGUAAAGAUCUUUAAUCAGGGACGAAACAAAUGACGGUACCUGAAGAAUAAGCUCCGGCUAACUACGUG